This 399-nucleotide ribosomal RNA is filed under the name uncultured bacterium. Its description in RNAcentral is "bacterial SSU rRNA". It matches the Rfam family "Bacterial small subunit ribosomal RNA", at positions 356 to 773 of the family's 1533-position model. The record is from RNAcentral.
GAGGAAUUUUGCUCAAUGGGCGCAAGCCUGAAGCAGCGACGCCGCGUGAACGAUGAAGUCUUUCGGGAUGUAAAGUUCUGUCAGCAGGGAAAAUUAUGAUGGUACCUGCAGAGGAAGCACCGGCAAACUAUGUGCCAGCAGCCGCGGUAAUACAUAGGGUGCAAGCGUUGUCCGGAUUUAUUGGGCGUAAAGAGCGUGUAGGUGGUGCUGUAAGUCAAAAUUAAAAGUCAGAGGCUCAACUUCUGUAUGGUUUUGAUACUGCAGCGCUAGAGAUUGGGAGAGGAAAGCGGAACAAACAGUGUAGCGGUGAAAUGCGUAGAUAUUGUUUGGAACACCCGUGGCGAAGGCGGCUUUCUGGACCAAUUCUGACACUGAGACGCGAGGGCGUGGGGAUCAAAC